CAGCAGUCGCCGCGGUAAUACGUAGGGUGCAAGCGUUAAUCGGAAUUACUGGGCGUAAAGCGUGCGCAGGCGGUUCGGAAAGAAAGAUGUGAAAUCCCAGGGCUUAACCUUGGAACUGCAUUUUUAACUCCCGGACUAGAGUAUGUCAGAGGGGGGUGGAAUUCCACGUGUAGCAGUGAAAUGCGUAGAUAUGUGGAGGAACACCGAUGGCGAAGGCAGCCCCCUGGGCCAAUACUGACGCUCAUGCACGAAAGCGUGGGGAGCAAACAGGAUUAGAUACCCCUGUAGUCCCUGUCUCUUAUAC
This 304-nucleotide ribosomal RNA is filed under the name uncultured bacterium. RNAcentral's name for it is "partial 16S ribosomal RNA". It matches the Rfam family "Bacterial small subunit ribosomal RNA", at positions 509 to 807 of the family's 1533-position model. The record is from RNAcentral.